UAUUUCUAAAACACAAAAUAAUAUAUUUUAUUAGAAUUUUGUAAUUUUAAAACGAAUCAUUUAUAUUAAUAAUACAUGCAAUUACAAGGAGAAACAACGCAUAGAAAAGUAAACCGACAUUAAGCGUAAAUUCUUCAGGAGAAAAUUCUCCAAUAAAAAGACCGAACAUAGAAGCAAAAAUUAGAAUUGCACAUAAAACCAAAAAUAUGCGAAUCAUCUUUCUUGCAAUGAAAAACCGGAAUGUGGCGAUUUGAAAAUAUUUGAGAGAAGAUGAAAUAUUUUGGAUGAAGUAAAUGAGUGAAGAAUGAGUAUAUUUAUAGAUGAAAAUACUGUUCAUAGCCGUUUGAAAAAGGUUAAAAUUUUGAAUUUUUUUCUUUGUGACCGUUUGGAUUAAAUCGUAUGAACGAAAAUCAAUCUGAAAAUAUUGUAACAAUCAGUCAACCAAAUUCCGUAAAUUUCGUAAUAUUUUAUGUAGGUGACCAAACACUUAUAUAAUAACCAUAAUAUGAUGAACAAAUAGAUAUUAAUCGUAUUAUGGGGAUAGAAAAACUAUAACAUUAAAUAGAUUAUGCGGCGGCACAACCAAGCCAAUAAUUAUAGUGUAAUUAGCAAUCAAGGUUUAUUAACGAGGCGACAUACCACCCGCAUUAAUUUAAACAAUCACUAUAAAAUGAUAAAUAAUAAUAUAGGCGGUAUACCGGCCAUUAUAGCAGAGUAGAUAUGAUACAUAUAAAUUUUACCGAAUCGCAGAGUGAUCGUGCUGAUAACGUGUUAUAAAAUAACUUAUAAUUUUAUAGUAUCGAAAAUUUUAAAUAAGAGCGAAAUUUUAUACCCGCAGAAAGGAGAUACUACUGAUACAAAAUAAUAACGAGAGAGAAUAUGUUAUAAGAGGAAGAAGAGAUGGUGUGUAUUACAAUCGAACGAAAACGUUCGUAUAUAUAGAAGUAAAAAGAUAAAGUUACUGUGCGUGCAUAGUGACGGUGGGCUCCACAUAUUUUUACGUUCUCAUACAAUGUCAAUGUUUUCGGUGCAGCAAACAUUGACGUUUCUCCAUCAUGUUUAUAACAAAUAAAUUAUAACUCACAAAACAAACCAUUUAAAUUUUACUUUUUGUCCAAACAAAAAAUAUCUAUCUAUCUAUAUAUCUAUAUAUAUAAAGAAGGGUUUCUCUCCUUCUUAAGCAUGCCACAUGGGAUUCCACGUCACAAAUUCGGAGACUGAGAGUGUGACACGUGUCACUUUAACCAAAGUGCACCGUUUCAUUUAAGCGAGAUACAUUGUCUGUUUGCUGGGCUUUAAUUACUUUUCCUUAGAAUAGUCAUGUUGAAGUUGGGCUGUCUGUAUAUUUCUUUGUUGGGCUCUACUAAUAAAAUUAACUGAAGUCCAGAAAGAUUACCUUUAUCACAUAUUAUCUUAUUAUCUAACGACGAUCUUCUGCAGCCGCAAGCGUUCAACUCCGUCUUCAUCUAACCGCAAUUAAGAACAGUGACAAAAAAAAGUGUUGCAAGAAACGUUAUUUCCCGACCAAUCUCUGUUCGGAAUACAACGGAUCUCUCUUCACGAUUGAUUUCCUCCCACCGCCUUAUGAAACCAGCACCGUUACGGAAGUCGGAAGACCUAUACAUUGAAUGAUCAUCAUUAAUGCCACCUUCCCACCACUGCUUACAUGAUGUCUCAUUCAAUACCCCCUUCUUUCUUCCAUGGUAUGAAUCUACAAUCUAUAAAUAUGUGAGAUUCUUGACGUGAAAUUCAUCAGUUCCUCCCCUCAAUCAUUAUAAUCAAUCUCUCUCUCGAUGGUCUGUUUCCCUUCUUUUUUCAUCGCUGAUAUAUUGCAUGGAUCGAUUUUAUUUGUAAUGCAUCUCUAAUCUCUUUUGAUGUACUUUGCUAGCUUAUAUUACUCUAAACAGUGACUCGAUUCGAUUUCUCCAUGGGUGACGGUGAUGAUCUGGAAAAUUGCUCCAAGUUUGUGUUCUUUUUUUUUUCUUUUGGAAAACACGUUUGUGUUCAUUCUCAGUAAUGGGAAUCGUAUAAAAGCUGGAAACUUUGAUCCUUUCAUCGAGUUUCACGCAGCUUUUGUUCCUGAUUCCAGCAAAUCUUUCUUACUUAUUCAUAUUGCAAAGAUUCAUCAUGAUCUUCAUAGGAUACAUUCGUUUUAAGAAGUUGCAUUAGUAUUAAACUUUGUUUUCAACAUUACAUUAGGCAUCUGACAUUAGUGAACCGUGCUAGAGCAUAGAGUUUGGCUAGACGUGCUGAUCUUUGUUUCAAAAAUAACAAUAAAAUUGCCAGGAUAUGAAGAAUGUAGUGGAAAACUUGAUAAACAUUAUUAUUAAAGAAUUAGAGAGUGAGAUUGUUAGAUAGCCAUUAGCAAUUAAAGUAAUGAGGUAAGAAACAAGAGGCUGAAGGGAGGAGUUAGUGUCAGAGUAUAAUUUUUGCAAUGCUUGGUUUCCCAAAAUUAUAUAAUAAAGAAUUAGCUUCAUAUAAAUUCUAAUACUUGAACAUGUAAUUCUGUAUUGCAUAUGUAUUUUUCGUAAUCCAGAAGAAACACGAACAAAUGUUAACCGUAUGCCAAGAACAAAUGUUAUAAUUCACACAGGCACCACGUCUAUUCAACUCUUACACUCCCAAAACCUUAGAGUAAAAAAAAAACAAGAAAAUAACUAAGAAGUUGAUGGCUCUUUAGCUUCAUGUUUUCUUUAAAAUUUAAGCCAAAGUUGAAUUAAUCAUUACAUAUGUCAAAAAUAUUUAUAGAUACCGGCUAUUAGAAUAAGUAAAAUAUUAUAUCACUUCUGUGUUACUAAAAAUUGAUUAAUUCAGUAUUAUGUUUUAAAAUUAUUUAUUUAAAUAGUGAAAAGCUUACAAAAUAGUAGAUCAAAACAACCUUAAUGAUCAAAUAAUUUCUGUUUAUUUUUUAACCUAUUGUUUAAAAACUAUUUACCAUUUGUUCAUCCAAUAUUUACUGUGUUAGUAAAUUUAAUAUCUGAAUACUAUACUAUCAGAUACAUAGUAAAAAUAAAACAAUAUAUAUUUUCUAAAUAGUAAAUAUUAAUAUUAUGUUUUCAUAAUGUCUUACCCACUCAAGAUACUUUAAUCACGGUAAAUAAACUAUUUCUUUUCUUACAUCAUUUGAAUUGCAAGCAUUGGGUUUGAAGUUUGAAUUAUAAUAUUACGAGUAGACAGUUAUAUUUGUAAAUAGUCAUUAAGAUAAUGUUUAUAAAUUUUACAUUCAUUUACUGCAAUAAGAGACAUUAUCCAAGAUAGGUUAGUCAAACAAAUUCCCAUGAACAAACUAGAGAAUGAUGAGAAUGAUGACACAGCCGAUCAAAAGACAUAGAUCAUUUUACUCAUGAACACGUUUACAAAACUCCUAUAGUCUCUCACUCUAUCUCUCUUUAUCUCAGUAAAAUGCAUUUACUUAAUUAACAUAUAAUAUCAAAUGUUUUGUAAGAACAAAAGGGGAGGUAACCCACUAUUCAGCGCUAAUCAUAUAACGCGGUAAUCAAGCGGGGAUGAGCUAGACGCCACGGCCGAGCCAUUGCUAAGGGUUAACAAGAAGGUUGGUCAGGUCAAUUAUCAUGAUCAAGCCAAGGUUCAUGAGCUUCAAGUCAUGUUUGCAGGGGAAGCAGCACAUAGAUCCCAUUACUCUACAAUUCAUCCUUACUUUAGUGGUUUCAGGCCAAGCAUAUUUAUUAUGAUUUUUUAGUGACCGUUUUAAGAUAUGUUUUUUGGUCAAUGUGUUUAGAGAAGCUUAAUUAGUUUUGUUAGGUUUAAGAAAAGAAUGUAAAGAUAUUUGAUUGAAUUUGCAUUUUUCUUUGUUCUUCGCUACAAGAGAGAUAGGACUCUACUAUAUGUAAGAUCUUUAUAAGGAGUAAGAAACAUAGGACAAAAAAUUUAGUUAAUAUACACAAAAAUAUAGGUUUAUGUUAAAAUACACAAAAAUAAAAAGCAUAAAAAUUGACUAUCCAAUUAAUUCUCACAUGAGCGUAGAGAUAUGUAACAUUACCACGGGUUUAACUGGUUUUUCCGCUACCACUACAUUUUACGGUUAUUGGCGGUUGUUGAUAUUUGACAAUAAUCACAAAAUGUUAUAAAUCGCUUUAAACCGCUCCAAACCUUUUAAAAUCAAAGAUAGUUUCUACUACGGACAAUUGCAAUGAAUAAAAAAAUAUAUAAAAAAAAUUUAAAUUUCAAAACUGAAAUACUUUAAACAAAAAAAAAUAUAUAUAUAUAUAUAUAUAUAUAUAUCUUAUAUUUUAAUUCACUAAAAGAAUCAUAAAAGACAAAAUAUAUAAAAGGAUUUGUACAUAUAUAAACAAGACAAAAUAUUUUUUAAGAAGUUCCAAUAAAAAUAUUCAAAAGGUUUUUAGUGAAAUUAUAAAUUUUUGAAAAAUAAUAAAAUAAAAUAAAUAGAUGUAAUAUUGUUUUUAAUUAUAUUAUAUUAAUAAUUAUUAAAUUUUAUCAUAAUAUUAUGUUUUUAAUAUUUAUAAUAUUAUGUUUUUAAUAUUUAUAAUAUUAUAAUGUAUUAAUAUUGGUCGUUUAUUAUUAAAUCGCAGGAGUGUCUCAUAAUUAACUUGGCAUAACUAUUUCGCAACAACGCUAAUUUUUAACCGAUAUAACAGUUUUACAAAUUUCUUAAUAACGCUAAAAACCAUAACCAUCCACGUCUGCAAACUUUAACAACCGCACCCGUAACCGCUACAUUUUAACCAUUCAUACCCUAAAACGUGUAGAGGGAAUACUAAAUGUUUAUAUGCUACUUCGUUUAUGUUAAUAUACUACAAAACAAUUAAGUUACAGCACAUCAAGAGUGUAAACAUUACAUCCAAAUGCAAACCAACUAUUAAAACAUUGCUUACCCAAAGAAAAUAUAUCUCAAACAAUAUAUAUGGUUGUAAAUUUAAGGGAGGGAGAAUCCAUUAAAUUACUUAGAGACUAAUUGGAAACAAACAUUAUAAAUAGUUUUAAGUGAAAUGAAACAUGUCUACAAUUCAACCAAUUAAAUACCAUAACUAAAAUUUAAUUAAUUUUUUAUUCUGCUCUUCACCUUAUAUAUAGUUUUCUAUAACAAGAAAAAUUGGAUACUACAAAUUUUGAAUCGUUUAAGAUAAAAACAAUGAAUAAUUUAAAAUUAUUUUAUAUUUGUCUAUAGCUACUUAUGUUUUUAUAAUAGAUUCUAAAUUUAUAUUAUAAAAACAUAUUAAAUAUUCUAAAAUAAAAAAAACAUACAUAUUAAAUAUUAAAUAUAUUUAAACAGACAUGAAUUUAAACAGAACAUAUUAAAUAUUCUGUUUAAUACAAAUUAAAACAAAACAUAUUAAAUAUAUAAUUAAAAGUAAGAAAAAUACCAAAACAUGUAAUUCUGUAUAGUUAUAUUAGUCUGCUAAUACCAAAACAUGUAAGAAAAAUAACUAAUAUGUAUAGUUUUCUAUGAUAUAAAUAUAUAUUAAAUACAUACUAUACCGGUUCAAUUUUUAUUUAAUAUACAUCCCGCCCGUAGGGCGGGCCGAUCCUAGUAUAUAUAUAUAUAAAGGAGAAGAGAAUCUCUUCUCAUGCUGCCACUUCAUCAUGCUCUUCCCUCAGCCCUCCACGUCAACACCCUUCCAAGCUUUUUCGGCAUUUGAUUUCGUGGAUAGCCGAAGUGGGCCUCAAGCGUAAGUUGGCCCAGUAUUUGGUUCGCUUUAUUUUUAAUGUUUCGUUACUGUCUAAUAGGCUGGAUAAGCUUUGGAACUAUUGCACACAAAAAAAAAGCUUUGGAACUAAUACUUCAGCCUGAGACCACCAUCGUAGGAAACCGUCGCUCCGGCUCCACUUUCAGGAGCUAUUUAUUACGGCAUUCAACAAAAAUUUCCCACUAUUUGAUCUUCGAUUCAACUUCCAUAGCUUCUACACCACUUCCACAAGGUUAUAUAUACACCAACAACGAUUCAUCCCCAUUCCCCACAUAUUUUUGUCUCCCACUUUCACUUUUGUUCCAUUAAAGGAUCAACCAUCCCCAGAAAUUAAAAAGUUCAGAGCUUUACAAAUCUAUCAGGAGUUAAGAUUUCAUCAAUGGAGGAAAUAUCUCCGGCGGUUUCUUUGCCUUUCCCAGAAACCCAGAUGGAAUUCGCAGGGAUCAUGGGAAUCAUGUUGCGUAAAGGCUACUGCUACAGCCAAUACUCAACUCAAGAUUCCCACAGCGUCGAUUCGUUUCCGUAUACUUCGUGUUCUGUUUUUGGGUCUCAUGUAGCUCAAUAUAGAGAGAGAUCUACGUUUCAGAAGAAGAUGAUCAGCGAACAGAGAGCAGGAGUCUGUUUGACUUCAAGAUUGUGCCUUAGAAGGCUGUGACAUCGAUGACGACCAGAGAAGGAAGAUGAUGUCUCCACUAUACCCAGAAUUCUUCGAUCUCCAACUAAUUCGUUAAUACAUGGUCGUUUCAAUCCUCAAUCAACUGCUCAUUUCUUUGGUGUCUACAACAGCCCUGGAGGAUCACAGGUAACGAACUAUUGUAGAGAGAGGAAAAGCUAGGAAUAAGUACAUUAAGGAGAGUGUUGACUUUGGGUCCAUGUCCACAGAUCAGAAACUAAUACACGGACUUUAACAAUACAUAUUUCAGGGAAGCGAGCCCGACAAGUUAAGAAGCAUUUGCGCAAAGAAAGCAGCAAACUCGAUUCCCCAAGGCAUGUUUUUGAUGGAAUACUUCUUCGUGACCAUCUGAUAACAACCAUAAUCCCUGCAUUGCCUCACUAUUUGUUUUUCUGUUAAGCAGCAGCGUAGUCUCAUUCUCUCAAAAUGAUAGGACAAAGCAGCUAGGCCGACAAUAAAUUGACCAAGUGGGAAGAGAACACACCAACAUGUCUAAUGUCAGAUUGUCAGUCCGUGAGUCAAUGUAACGCUCCCUUCACCGUACUUUUUCGCAGCAGCAUUAAACCGCUCCUUCUUUUUCUGCAUCAAAGCAAUAAGCUCAUGCUAAUGGCAAUAAAAAGACAUUAAAAUUUAUUACAAAGGAUAAGUUAAACAUGUGAAGCUAUGAGAAACCUUAAGUUACUUGCAGAUGAUCUAUGUUUCUUGCUUUUAUUGACAUUGGUAUUACU
Molecule: long non-coding RNA, 7067 nt
Organism: Brassica rapa (field mustard)
Lineage: Eukaryota; Viridiplantae; Streptophyta; Magnoliopsida; Brassicales; Brassicaceae
Source: RefSeq, a predicted model, not a curated record